This 376-nucleotide ribosomal RNA is filed under the name uncultured bacterium. RNAcentral's name for it is "bacterial SSU rRNA". It matches the Rfam family "Bacterial small subunit ribosomal RNA", at positions 28 to 416 of the family's 1533-position model. The record is from RNAcentral.
GAUAAACGCUGGCGGCGUGCCUAAAACAUGCAAGUCGAACGGGUGACUUCGGUCACCAGUGGCGAACGGCUGAGUAACGCGUGGGUGACCUCGCUCCGAGUGGGGGAUAACUGCCCGAAAGGGUGGCUAAUACCGCAUGUGCUCGUGGGAUCGUUCCUACGCGCAAAGUCGCAAGACGCUUGGAGAUGGGCCCGCGUCCGAUUAGCUUGUUGGUGGGGUGACGGCCUACCAAGGCGACGAUCGGUAGCUGGUCUCAGAGGAUGAUCAGCCAGACUGGGACUGCGACACGGCCCAGACUCCUACGGGAGGCAGCAGUUAGGAAUUUUGGGCAAUGGGCGAAAGCCUGACCCAGCAACGCCGCGUGGGGACGAAGGCC